This 497-nucleotide ribosomal RNA is filed under the name uncultured bacterium. RNAcentral describes it as "partial 16S ribosomal RNA". It matches the Rfam family "Bacterial small subunit ribosomal RNA", at positions 28 to 507 of the family's 1533-position model. The record is from RNAcentral.
GAUGAACGCUGGCGGCGUGCCUAAUACAUGCAAGUCGAGCGAACAGACGAGGAGCUUGCUCCUCUGACGUUAGCGGCGGACGGGUGAGUAACACGUGGAUAACCUACCUAUAAGACUGGGAUAACUUCGGGAAACCGGAGCUAAUACCGGAUAAUAUAUUGAACCGCAUGGUUCAAUAGUGAAAGACGGUUUUGCUGUCACUUAUAGAUGGAUCCGCGCCGCAUUAGCUAGUUGGUAGGGUAACGGCUUACCAAGGCAACGAUGCGUAGCCGACCUGAGAGGGUGAUCGGCCACACUGGAACUGAGACACGGUCCAGACUCCUACGGGAGGCAGCAGUAGGGAAUCUUCCGCAAUGGGCGAAAGCCUGACGGAGCAACGCCGCGUGAGUGAUGAAGGUCUUCGGUUCGUAAAACUCUGUUAUUAGGGAAGAACAAAUGUGUAAGUAACUAUGCACGUCUUGACGGUACCUAAUCAGAAAGCCACGGCUAACUACGUG